RNAcentral lists this ribosomal RNA (334 nucleotides) under uncultured soil bacterium. RNAcentral describes it as "bacterial SSU rRNA". It matches the Rfam family "Bacterial small subunit ribosomal RNA", at positions 26 to 390 of the family's 1533-position model. The record is from RNAcentral.
AGAACGAACGCUGGCGGCAUGCCUAAUACAUGCAAGUCGAACGAACUCUUCGGAGUUAGUGGCGCACGGGUGCGUAACGCGUGGGAAUCUGCCCCUUGGUUCGGAAUAACAGUUGGAAACGACUGCUAAUACCGGAUGAUGACGAAAGUCCAAAGAUUUAUCGCCAAGGGAUGAGCCCGCGUAGGAUUAGCUAGUUGGUGAGGUAAAGGCUCACCAAGGCAACGAUCCUUAGCUGGUCUGAGAGGAUGAUCAGCCACACUGGGACUGAGACACGGCCCAGACUCCUACGGGAGCAGCAGUAGGGAAUAGUUGGACAAGUGGGGACGACGAACGU